AACGAACGCUGGCGGCAUGCCUAACACAUGCAAGUCGAACGAGACCUUCGGGUCUAGCGGCGCACGGGUGCGUAACGCGUGGGAACCUGCCCUUAGGUUCGGAAUAACUCCCCGAAAGGGGUGCGAAUACCGGAUAAUGUCUUCGGACCAAAGAUUUAUCGCCUUUGGAUGGGCCCGCGUUGGAUCAGCGAGUUGGUAGGGUAAAAGCCUACCAAGGCGACGAUCCAUAGCUGGUCUGAGAGGAUGAUCAGCCACACUGGGACUGAGACACGGCCCCGACUCCUACGGGAGGCAGCAGUGGGGAAUAUUGGAGCAUGGGCGAAAGCCUGAUCCAGCAAUGCCGCGUGAGUGAUGAAGGCCUUAGGGUUGUAAAGCUCUUUUAACCGGGAUGAUAAUGACAGUACCGGGAGAAUAAGCUCCGGCUAACUCCGUG
Molecule: ribosomal RNA, 433 nt
Filed under: uncultured bacterium
Lineage: Bacteria
Description: partial 16S ribosomal RNA
Rfam family: Bacterial small subunit ribosomal RNA
Source: RNAcentral